Leptopilina boulardi is the source of this 577-nucleotide long non-coding RNA. RefSeq lists it as uncharacterized. The transcript is spliced from 4 exons. The record is from RefSeq and is a predicted model, not a curated record. Lineage: Eukaryota; Metazoa; Arthropoda; Insecta; Hymenoptera; Figitidae.
UAAUCCAAGUAAAAAACGAAUAGGAACAAUUGUUUUUCCAAAAGUGUUGACAGCAGGCGUCGCCAUUUUUAAAAAAAAUAAUCUAGUAAUUUUAGUUGACAGAUGUUCUAGUCAGUGCGCCGUUAAGAUUCUAGACUUCCGGUGCUGCCGCCAUCUUUGUUUCGUACUAGUUCAAUGCUUUUGAAAAGUUUCUCAUGCAGCACGUUCAGUUGAUUUUCGUUAAUUUUCUUUGGAAAAAAAGCUUAUGGCAGUAAAUGGUGUGUUCAUUCAUUGUCGAACAAUGUGAAGAUCUGUUUCGAGUCUUUUAAUUCUCGGUCUCUUUGUAAGGUUAAUUGCCAAAUUUCUCAAAAUUUGGUUAUUAAUCCAGAAGAGGGAUCUCCGGGAAAUAAAUAGACUUGGAAGUAUGAUUCUUUCACUGGAUGAAAUUUAUUGCUGUUAAUGAGUCAUAAUUGGAAAAGUAAAUAAAGAUGACAAAAAGUUUAAUUAAAAUUAAAAAAUUAGUUUUUAUAAUUAUGUUUGAGAAAAGUUAAUGAAUUCUAGUGAAGUUUUUAAAAUAGUGUAAUAAUUUUUUUAUUUA